RNAcentral lists this ribosomal RNA (417 nucleotides) under uncultured bacterium. Its description in RNAcentral is "partial 16S ribosomal RNA". It matches the Rfam family "Bacterial small subunit ribosomal RNA", at positions 355 to 762 of the family's 1533-position model. The record is from RNAcentral.
UGGGGAAUAUUGCACAAUGGGCGCAAGCCUGAUGCAGCCAUGCCGCGUGUGUGAAGAAGGCCUUCGGGUUGUAAAGCACUUUCAGCGAGGAGGAAGGUGGUGAACUUAAUACGUUCAUCAAUUGACGUUACUCGCAGAAGAAGCACCGGCUAACUCCGUGCCAGCAGCCGCGGUAAUACGGAGGGUGCAAGCGUUAAUCGGAAUUACUGGGCGUAAAGCGCACGCAGGCGGUUUGUUAAGUCAGAUGUGAAAUCCCCGGGCUCAACCUGGGAACUGCAUUUGAAACUGGCAAGCUAGAGUCUCGUAGAGGGGGGCUAGAAUUCCACGUGUAGCGUGAAAUGCGUAGAGAUGUGGAGGAAUUACCGAUGGCNAAGGCAGCCCCCUUGGGCCAAUACUGACGCUCAUGCACGAAAGCGU